Molecule: ribosomal RNA, 909 nt
Filed under: Pleurotus sp. IOO-2013b
Lineage: Eukaryota; Fungi; Basidiomycota; Agaricomycetes; Agaricales; Pleurotaceae
Description: eukaryotic LSU rRNA
Rfam family: Eukaryotic large subunit ribosomal RNA (bases 614-909)
Source: RNAcentral
GCAAUAUAAAAUAGAAUUCACUAUGGAGUUGUUGCUGGCCUCUAGGGGCAUGUGCACGCUGUGACCUGCGGACACUAGUCUUUCAACCACCUGUGAACUUUUGAUAGAUCUGUGAAGUCGUCUCUCAAGUCGUCAGACUUGGUUGCUGGGAUUUAAACGUCUCGGUGUGACUACGCAGUCUAUUUACUUAACACACCCCAAAUGUAUGUCUACGAAUGUUAUUUAAUGGGCCUUGUGCCUUUAAACCAUAAUACAACUUUCAACAACGGAUCUCUUGGCUCUCGCAUCGAUGAAGAACGCAGCGAAAUGCGAUAAGUAAUGUGAAUUGCAGAAUUCAGUGAAUCAUCGAAUCUUUGAACGCACCUUGCGCCCCUUGGUAUUCCGAGGGGCAUGCCUGUUUGAGUGUCAUUAAAUUCUCAAACUCACUUUGGUUUCUUUCCAAUUGUGAUGUUUGGAUUGUUGGGGGCUGCUGGCCUUGACAGGUCGGCUCCUCUUAAAUGCAUUAGCAGGACUUCUCAUUGCCUCUGCGCAUGAUGUGAUAAUUAUCACUCAUCAAUAGCACGCAUGAAUAGAGUCCAGCUCUCUAAUCGUCCGCAAGGACAAUUUGACAAUUUGACCUCAAAUCAGGUAGGACUACCCGCUGAACUUAAGCAUAUCAAUAAGCGGAGGAAAAGAAACUAACAAGGAUUCCCCUAGUAACUGCGAGUGAAGCGGGAAAAGCUCAAAUUUAAAAUCUGGUGGUCUUUGGCCAUCCGAGUUGUAAUCUAGAGAAGUGUUAUCCGCGCUGGACCGUGUACAAGUCCCCUGGAAUGGGGCGUCAUAGAGGGUGAGAAUCCCGUCUUUGACACGGGGGCAUGUGCACGCUUAGGAUCAUUAAUGAAUUCACUAUGGAGUUGUUGCUGGCCUCUA